CAUACACAUAUAUGUCACAACAAAUAACAAGAGAGAGGAGGAGCAGCUAGGCCCUUGUAGUUCCGUUCUCCUUUCUCAAUCAAGCCUGCUCACGUGGCCUCCUUUUUUUCAGCUCAAGUUGCAUCUCCAGCUUGACCAGGCCCAGUGCCUUUUCAUCAUGCCACACAAGCCCAGACGGCCAUCUCGUCUUCUUCGUCUCGAUCUCCCAAGCAGAGCAUCUCCCAGCCGCCUCUAUCUCUUGCGACCAAACUCCAACUGAGCAGCACCAAACCUUCUCAAAUCCGGAUAAAAUGGAAUCCCAAAAUCUUAGCCAACCGGAAUCCCGAGCUAUCCCCAACCGAUUUGAUUCCAGCUGGCCUUAAAUCCCAACAGAUUUGGAGCUUUAUCUGGAGGGAGUCACUGCCUAUAUAGAGGGGGCCAGAUCGGAGAGCUAGAGGGAGGGAGAAAGAGAAAGAGAGAGAGAGAGAGAGAGGGAGAGAGAGAGAGAGGGGGGAGUUUUGCUGCGCCGAAACCGUGCCGCCAGGUGUGUUUGCCGAGCAGCUGUGCCUUCCCUUCCCUGCUAGCAAGCUUCGCCAUCGGCAAGGAGAAAUCGACAGAAUCCCCUGACGCUUCUACUGCAUCCACACCCCCUAGGACGCGUCUCCGAUCCGUCGCCAUCAUCACCAUGUCUGCGCCCCGAGCCUUGCAGACUCGGAUACGACCUCGGUAUGACGACCGCCAGCGCACUUAAUCGGAGGUAGCCCGAAGACGGGCGUAAUUAACCGGAGAGAUUCACGAAGCCCCAGGAACCAAGACAAAGCAAUCGCCAGAUCGUGAAGAUAGUCAGAUAGCGUGUGCGUUGUGGAGUAAAAAUGUAUAUGAGAAACUGUACUUUAUGAUUUCGACAUGAAUGAAUAAAGUUACAUGUUUUCGAUUA
Molecule: long non-coding RNA, 916 nt
Organism: Phragmites australis (common reed)
Lineage: Eukaryota; Viridiplantae; Streptophyta; Magnoliopsida; Poales; Poaceae
Exons: 2
Source: RefSeq, a predicted model, not a curated record